AAAUAUCCAAAGGGUACACAUAUUUCCUACAUUUUGAGAUAAGGGGAAACGGACGUUACUUAUUGGUGUUGAAAGCCUGCUACGAGUAGGAAUCCUAAAAAUAAGUACAGUUUACCCACCUGGAAUUACGCCGGGAAUAGAUCUCGCUCUUUGGGAAUUAG
RNAcentral lists this non-coding RNA (161 nucleotides) under Erysipelotrichaceae bacterium. RNAcentral describes it as "6S RNA". It matches the Rfam family "6S / SsrS RNA". From Rfam's summary of the family: E. coli 6S RNA was the first non coding RNA to be sequenced, but its function was unknown until recently. It consists of 184 nucleotides that fold into an extended hairpin structure with a large single-stranded internal bulge. The 6S RNA specifically associates with RNA polymerase holoenzyme containing the sigma70 specificity factor. Lineage: Bacteria; Bacillati; Bacillota; Erysipelotrichia; Erysipelotrichales; Erysipelotrichaceae. The record is from RNAcentral.